RNAcentral lists this ribosomal RNA (379 nucleotides) under uncultured Glomus. RNAcentral describes it as "SSU rRNA". It matches the Rfam family "Eukaryotic small subunit ribosomal RNA", at positions 569 to 952 of the family's 1831-position model. The record is from RNAcentral. Lineage: Eukaryota; Fungi; Glomeromycota; Glomeromycetes; Glomerales; Glomeraceae.
AGCAGCCGCGGUAAUUCCAGCUCCAAUAGCGUAUAUUAAAGUUGUUGCAGCUAAAAAGCUCGUAGUUGAAUUUCGGGAUCAAUUAAUUGGUCGUGCCUAUGGUACGUACUGAUUUUAUUGGUUUCUCCCUUCUGACGAACCAUGAUGUCAUUAAUUUGGUGUCGUGGAGAAUCAGGACUGUUACUUUGAAAAAUUAGAGUGUUUAAAGCAGGCUAACGCUUGAAUACAUUAGCAUGGAAUAAUGAAAUAGGACGUUUGAUCCUAUUUUGUUGGUUUCUAGAAUCGACGUAAUGAUUAAUAGGGAUAGUUGGGGGCAUUAGUAUUCAAUUGUCUAGAGGUGAAAUUCUUGGAUUUAUUGAAGACUAACUACUGCGAAAGC